This is an RNA transcript of Benincasa hispida (wax gourd), 2362 nucleotides long. RefSeq lists it as uncharacterized. The record is from RefSeq and is a predicted model, not a curated record. Lineage: Eukaryota; Viridiplantae; Streptophyta; Magnoliopsida; Cucurbitales; Cucurbitaceae.
UCCAUUUAUCCAGGCCUUUUUUAUUCUCAAGUUUGGGAACGAGAGAGGAUGAUCGAAUGUAUGGUUCUCAAGCUCUCAUCAUUCCAUUUCCAAUUCCAAUUUAUAAACCCUAAUUGUUGCAUUUCAUCUUCUCCUUUUCUCCGCUUCCGCAACCGCACAUUUUCCUCUCCCUUCUCAGUUUCUGCUUUUGCUUCCACUGCCAAGGAACCAGAUGACUUCCAUUUCAACUCUUUUUCGCUUGGCCACACAACCUGUCCUGAUUUCCCCAUCCUGUCCUGAUUUCCCCAUCCUUCAUCAGGAAGUAAAUGGCUUCAAGCUUGUAUACUUGGAUAACGCUGCCACCUCUCAGAAAUCUAUUGCUGUAUUGAAAGCUUUGCAGAAUUGUUAAGAGGCUUACAAUUCAAAUGUUCAUCAUGGCAUACAGUCCUUGAGAAAAGUGUUGGGUGAGGAGUUAUCGUUCUGAGGUCCUACCGUUUCCAACAUAAAGCAACUGAUGAGUAUGAGCGGGCAAGAAAGAAAGUUGCAUCUUUUAUCAAUGCUGGAGAAGCUAAGGAGAUCGUUUUUACUAGGAAUGCAACUGAAGCUAUCAAUCUAGCGGCUUGUUCUUGGGGCCUAGCGAAUUUAAAAUCAGAAGAUGAGGUAGUGGAGGGAUGAUAUCAGAUGUAUUUCUUGACCAUUCCACAUUUGCACAACCUCCUUCCAGGAAGAAUUGGCGAAGUAUCUAUAUGAAAAUCUUCGUGCAGUCCCUAACAUUCGCAUAUAUGGCCCAGCUCCCACAGCAAAUGUUCAACAUGCUGCUCUGUGUUCUUUCAAUAUUGGAGACAUUCAUCCAACGGACAUCGCAAGCUUUCUUGAUCGACAGUUAUGUCUUGGACUUCUCUCUUCUUUAUGUUGACAUGCUCGCGUUUGGUCCUUACGAAGAGUUUUUCAAGGCUUGAAUACUAUUGUGAUCUUUAAUCAUGAUUAAUCUUUUAUAUUCUUUUCUUUUACUUGAAUUUCUAUUUAGGACAAGUAUUUGCAAUAGGUCGCAUGUCGAGUUGUCUUGAAACAUGUUAACGACUGAAUAGUUUUGAUGUAAAAUUGAAAGACUCGAACAAAAUCUUUAAUUUGAAAGCUAAGGAACCAAAAUCAAAUAAUGAUGAAAGUUUAGAAUUAAAAUAGAAUUUAAUUUAAAUCCUUUCUUUAACCUUUCCAGUCUCAAGGAUUUGGGCCAAGAUCAUGAGAGUAAUAACUAGAUUGAAUCAUUUACUUUUUAUGGAUCCUUAAAAUAGUUAAAUGCAGCAUGGUGUAGCCAUCAAAGGGCAAAAGAACACAUAUUAAAUAUAUUAAAAGAAGAUGCAAUUGAAUCAUACACCUUGAUUCCAAGAUUUUUUGAAAAGUUGAAUGAAAUGAAUCCAGGUAUGAUCCAUUUUCCUUAGCAAAUUUUUAUCUUUUUCCAUUGUAGAUAGAAAGUGAUAGACAACUAGUCUAUAUUGGAUUGACGAGGAUAGUUGUCUAUCACUGUCUAUAAUAGAUAGACAGGGAUAGUUAUCUACCACUGUCUAUCUAUACAGUUACUAUUCAUGCUGCUAGAAAUGUUUUUAUAUAUUUUUAUAGGUACUUACACUGCUUUAGAAAUGGAUGCUAGUGGUCAUUUCAAGUUUUGCUUCAUGAUUUUUAGUGCAUCAAUCGAAGAGUGGAAGUAUUGUAGACCUAUCACAUAUGUUGAUGGUACAAUUUUGUUUGGUGGCAUGCUAUUAAAACCUCAUCAUUAGAUGGUAGCAAUCAAAUCUUUCCCCUUACAUUUAGUAUCAUAGGUUCUGAAAAUGACGAAUCAUGGACAUGUUUUUUUUAAAUCAUACAAAGUACUUUUGAGGAAUGAGAGAAAUUAGUCAUUGUUUCUUAUAGGCAUCUUAGCAUUCCUAAAGGAAUUUUAAGAGUAUUUGCUAAUGUUGAGUACUGUGUGCAUAUAAUAUCUUUUAAGAAACUUGAAACUUCAUUUUAAGGAUCCAAUGCUUGAUAAUUAUUUCUUUAGUUGUGCUAAUGCCAACACUACUAAUGACUUUGAGUACCACAUGAGAUGCAUGGAGUCAAUCUUCCCGAAUAUUAGAAGUUAUCUUAGUAGUGUUAGGUUUGAGAAGUGGUCUCGGGUUUAUUCACAAAGAAGAAGGUAUGGAACAAUGACAUCAAAUGUUGCAGAAAGUAUAAACUCAGUUUUUAAGGAUGCUAGAGAAUUACCCGUGGCUAGCUUUUUUAAUUCAAUCAGAGAUAUAUUGCAAAAAUGGUUUUAUGAUCGAAGUACAACUGCUUUUGCAAUGAAAACUCCUUUGAUUUCUUGGGCUGAGAACAUAUUAUGAUGAAAACACGAAAAAUCAAGAAGUUU